AAAAAUCUGGGUUUAUAUGGUUAACAAUUGGUUUACUGUUGGUUUAAUAUUUUCUUAACCAAUUAACAAAUCUUAUUAACCAAAUUAAAUUUUAUCUCAACCCGGUUUCAAUUUUAAUUUAGUCAAACAUGAUUAAACCUUUUAUUUAAUGUUUAAAAAAAACCUAAAAAUUAAAACGAAGAAGACGAAGAAGAUCACUUCCUUCCUCCUUCUUCUUCUCCAUUUAGUGACUCCCAGACGGAAAAAAAAGAAGAAAAAACUGGAUCUUCAUCCUUCAAUUACAACUUCUUCUUCUCCAUUUAGUGACUCCCAGGCGAUUGAAGCUUGUGGUAUUUCCUAAUUGAAGGAUCCUGGGAAAGUGCUUAGAGAUUGGGAUCUAUGGGGCGCCUUGUUCAAUCUCACCAUCAUCUCCACCACC
RNAcentral lists this long non-coding RNA (418 nucleotides) under Capsella rubella. RNAcentral describes it as "long non-coding RNA (CRUB_LNC001507)". Lineage: Eukaryota; Viridiplantae; Streptophyta; Magnoliopsida; Brassicales; Brassicaceae. The record is from RNAcentral.